UACGGGGGGGGCAAGCGUUGUUCGGAAUUACUGGGCGUAAAGGGCUCGUAGGUGGCCAACUAAGUCAGACGUGAAAUCCCUCGGCUUAACCGGGGAACUGCGUCUGAUACUGGAUGGCUUGAGUUUGGGAGAGGGACGCGGAAUUCCAGGUGUAGCGGUGAAAUGCGUAGAUAUCAGGAGGAACACCAGCGGCGAAGGCGGCGCUCUGGGCCGGUACUGACGCUGAGGAGCGAAAGCGUGGGGAGCAAACAGG
RNAcentral lists this ribosomal RNA (253 nucleotides) under uncultured bacterium. Its description in RNAcentral is "partial 16S ribosomal RNA". It matches the Rfam family "Bacterial small subunit ribosomal RNA", at positions 524 to 776 of the family's 1533-position model. The record is from RNAcentral.